UACGUAGGGUGCAAGCGUUGUCCGGAAUUAUUGGGCGUAAAGAGCGUGUAGGCGGCCCGAUAAGUCCGCUGUGAAAGUCCAGGGCUCAACCCUGGGAUGCCGGUGGAUACUGUCGGGCUCGAGUCCGGAAGAGGAGUGUGGAAUUCCUGGUGUAGCGGUGAAAUGCGCAGAUAUCAGGAGGAACACCAAUGGCGAAGGCAGCACUCUGGGACGUGACUGACGCUAAGGCGCGAAAGCGUGGGGAGCGAACAGG
RNAcentral lists this ribosomal RNA (253 nucleotides) under uncultured bacterium. RNAcentral describes it as "partial 16S ribosomal RNA". It matches the Rfam family "Bacterial small subunit ribosomal RNA", at positions 524 to 776 of the family's 1533-position model. The record is from RNAcentral.